UACGUAGGGUGCGAGCGUUAAUCGGAAUUACUGGGCGUAAAGCGUGCGCAGGCGGUUUUGUAAGGCAGAUGUGAAAGCCCCGGGCUUAACCUGGGAAUGGCAUUUGGGACUGCAAGGCUGGAGUGUGGCAGAGGAGACUGGAAUUCCUGGUGUAGCAGUGAAAUGCGUAGAUAUCAGGAGGAAUACCGAUGGCGAAGGCAGGUCUCUGGGCUGACACUGACGCUCAUGCACGAAAGCGUGGGGAGCAAACAGG
Molecule: ribosomal RNA, 253 nt
Filed under: uncultured bacterium
Lineage: Bacteria
Description: partial 16S ribosomal RNA
Rfam family: Bacterial small subunit ribosomal RNA
Source: RNAcentral